CCCCACUGGGGCAGGAGGAGGCGCUUCCGCUACCGCCGCCGCUCGGGGACAGUGCGGCCAACACUGAGGCGGCGGCGGAAUUCUAACAUGGUGCCCUUCUUAUCCAGUUAAGUUACACAAAGUAAAUGCAUGUCCCUAAGCAAUGUCCCUGGAGAAGCAACAUGAAAAAAUGAAAAAGGCCUCCAUUUCCUCAACUUUAUGCAUGUAGCAUCCUUUCUGGGGCUACCUCACCAGCUCAAAACUUGAAGGUUGCUAGCCGUGUCGCAGUAGGGCCCAACUACUU
Molecule: non-coding RNA, 283 nt
Organism: Phascolarctos cinereus (koala)
Lineage: Eukaryota; Metazoa; Chordata; Mammalia; Diprotodontia; Phascolarctidae
Source: RefSeq, a predicted model, not a curated record